AACGAACGCUGGCGGCAGGCUUAACACAUGCAAGUCGAACGCCCCGCAAGGGGAGUGGCAGACGGGUGAGUAACGCGUGGGAACGUGCCCUUCGCUUCGGAAUAGUCCCGGGAAACUGGGUUUAAUACCGGAUACGCCGUAUUGGGAAAGAUUUAUCGGCGAAGGAUCGGCCCGCGUUGGAUUAGCUAGUUGGCGGUGUAAUGGACCACCAAGGCGACGAUCCAUAGCUGGUCUGAGAGGAUGAUCAGCCACACUGGGACUGAGACACGGCCCAGACUCCUACGGGAGGCAGCAGUGGGGAAUCUUGGACAAUGGGCGCAAGCCUGAUCCAGCCAUGCCGCGUGAGUGAAGAAGGCCUUAGGGUUGUAAAACUCUUUCGCCGGAGAAGAUAAUGACGGUAUCCGGAGAAGAAGCCCCGGCUAACUUCGUGCCAGCCGCCGCAGUAA
Molecule: ribosomal RNA, 446 nt
Filed under: uncultured bacterium
Lineage: Bacteria
Description: partial 16S ribosomal RNA
Rfam family: Bacterial small subunit ribosomal RNA
Source: RNAcentral